UACGUAGGGGGCAAGCGUUAUCCGGAAUUACUGGGUGUAAAGGGUGAGUAGGCGGCAUGGUAAGCCAGAUGUGAAAGCCUUGGGCUUAACCCGAGGAUUGCAUUUGGAACUAUCAAGCUAGAGUACAGGAGAGGAAAGCGGAAUUCCUAGUGUAGCGGUGAAAUGCAUAGAUAUUACACAGAACACCGAUUGCGAAGGCAGCUUGCUAGGCCGGAUCUGACACUGAUGCACGAAAGCGUGGGGAUCGAACAGG
This 253-nucleotide ribosomal RNA is filed under the name uncultured Eubacteriales bacterium. RNAcentral's name for it is "uncultured Clostridiales bacterium partial 16S ribosomal RNA". It matches the Rfam family "Bacterial small subunit ribosomal RNA", at positions 524 to 776 of the family's 1533-position model. Lineage: Bacteria; Bacillati; Bacillota; Clostridia; Eubacteriales. The record is from RNAcentral.